CAAAUAUCAUCACAAUGGGGAUUAGGCUUCAGAAUUCACAUAGGAAUCUUGGUGGGACAUAAACAUUCAGUAUAAAGCAACUGAUGAGAAGAAUUAUUGAUUCUUUUACAAUUAUUGAUUCAUUUGGGCUUCCCAAGUGGCGCCAAUGGAAAAAGUCCCGCUUCAGUAGCACACUUCUCUGUCUACUAAAGGACACUGUCAAAGCAAGGAACACGACCACCAAAGUGAUACUACUGGGGAGGGUGUCCUGCCCUCUGUAA
Molecule: long non-coding RNA, 260 nt
Filed under: Capra hircus (goat)
Lineage: Eukaryota; Metazoa; Chordata; Mammalia; Artiodactyla; Bovidae
Description: lncRNA (ENSCHIG00000003686.1)
Source: RNAcentral